This 497-nucleotide ribosomal RNA is filed under the name uncultured bacterium. RNAcentral's name for it is "partial 16S ribosomal RNA". It matches the Rfam family "Bacterial small subunit ribosomal RNA", at positions 28 to 507 of the family's 1533-position model. The record is from RNAcentral.
GAUGAACGCUGGCGGCGUGCCUAAUACAUGCAAGUCGAACGGACGGACGCGACGCUUGUUUCUCUGAUGUUAGCGGCGGGCGGGUGAGUAACACGUGGAUAACCUCCCUAUAUUUCGGGGAUAACUUCGGAACACCGGCGCUAAUACCGGAUAAUAUUUUGAACCGCAGGGUGCAUAGGUGAAUGACGGCCUUGGUGUCACGUCUAGAGGGAUCCGCGCUGCAUUAGCUAGUUGGUAAGUUACCAGCUUACCAAGGCAACGAUGCAUAGCCGACCUGAGAGGCUGAUCGGCCACACUGGAACUGAGACACGGUCCAGACUCCUACGGGAGGCAGCAGUAGGGAAUCUUCCGCAAUGGGCGAAAGCCUGACGGAGCAAGGCCGCGUGAGUGAUGAAGGCCUUCGGAUCGUAAAGCUCUGUUAUUAGGGAAGAACAGAUGUGGAAGUAAAUGUGCACAUCUUGACGGUACCUAAUCAAGAAGCCACGGCUAACUACGUG